GUAAAUUCGGGCCGGCAGGCGAGUGAAGAAGAAGGAUGCAAGCGAUAUCCGGAUUCAGUGGGUGUAAAGGGAGCGUAGUCGGACGUAUAAGUCAGUGGUGAAAUCUCGCAGCUGAACUGCGAAACUGCCAUUGAUACUGUAGGUCUUGAGUACAGUUGCCGUUGGCGGAAUAUGACAUGUAGUGGUGAAAUACUUAGAUAUGUCAUAGAACACCGAUUGCGAAGGCAGCUAACGAAGCUGUAACUGACGCUGAGGCUCGAAAGUGCGGGGAUCAAACAGGAUUAGAUACCCCAGUAGUC
Molecule: ribosomal RNA, 299 nt
Filed under: uncultured Haloferax sp.
Lineage: Archaea; Methanobacteriati; Methanobacteriota; Halobacteria; Halobacteriales; Haloferacaceae
Description: partial 16S ribosomal RNA
Rfam family: Bacterial small subunit ribosomal RNA
Source: RNAcentral